Molecule: ribosomal RNA, 495 nt
Filed under: uncultured bacterium
Lineage: Bacteria
Description: partial 16S ribosomal RNA
Rfam family: Bacterial small subunit ribosomal RNA
Source: RNAcentral
GACGAACGCUGGCGGCGUGCCUAAUACAUGCAAGUAGAACGCUGAAGGAGGAGCUUGCUUCUCUGGAUGAGUUGCGAACGGGUGAGUAACGCGUAGGUAACCUGCCUGGUAGCGGGGGAUAACUAUUGGAAACGAUAGCUAAUACCGCAUAAGAGUAGAUGUUGCAUGACAUUUGCUUAAAAGGUGCAAUUGCAUCACUACCAGAUGGACCUGCGUUGUAUUAGCUAGUUGGUGGGGUAACGGCUCACCAAGGCGACGAUACAUAGCCGACCUGAGAGGGUGAUCGGCCACACUGGGACGGAGACACGGCCCAGACGCCUACGGGAGGCAGCAGUAGGGAAUCGUCGGCAAUGGACGGAAGUCUGACCGAGCAACGCCGCGUGAGUGAAGAAGGUUUUCGGAUCGUAAAGCUCGGUUGUAAGAGAAGAACGAGUGUGAGAGUGGAAAGUUCACACUGUGACGGUAUCUUACCAGAAAGAGACGGCUAACUACGUG